Molecule: long non-coding RNA, 2539 nt
Organism: Acipenser ruthenus (sterlet)
Lineage: Eukaryota; Metazoa; Chordata; Actinopteri; Acipenseriformes; Acipenseridae
Exons: 5
Source: RefSeq, a predicted model, not a curated record
ACACUGCUGCAGAAAAUUGAUCAACUGGGUUUAAUUGGACCUGAACGAGACUCAAAUAUACUUCAAUCUCAUUUCACUCCGUGCUUUGAAGGCGGGGUUAAAUCUAUUUAAACAAAACUUGUCAGCAGAGUAGUCGUAGUAAAAGGUAUUGAUUUGGCCACUCUAGUCAAUUUAAUAUUAUUUUCGAUACAUGCUGAAGUGUUCGUUGUUAAGUAGAAUGGUUUUAUAACCUUUUGUUAGAAACAAGCAAAAAACAAACCAAAAAAAAAAAAAACCCAGAACUUCAUUCAUCUGUUUCUCAUCCAUUUCGAAGAGCGCUUUAGUAUCGUACGGAAGCGCCCUAGUGCCAAUUUCUAAAAAAAGUCCUAAGUAGGAGGUAUAAAGUCCGACAUAGGAGAUAUUUUUUGUUAUUGUUCUUUAAUUGGCACUAGGACGCUUCCGUAGUAUCGUUUAGAAGUAACCUUAUUAGAAAUGUCCACGAGAAUCGACUUUGCUGAUGAAAGUUGCGUUCUUGUUCAUGCUGAUACAGAUGAAAUGGAAUCUACUCCUUGUGAACUGAACGUUGAUAAUCUUCACAAAGGUGUGCGGUCUGAGCUAUUGACUAUAUUGACCUAUUGACCUUGUCAGUUUCUGCUCAGACUGAGAAGGCUGAUAACGCAGAGCAGCGCCAGUUAAGAGUCUACCUGAGGGUGAGACCAUUUUCCAAAGAAGAGCUUGCAAAUGACAAGGAUCAGGGUUGUAUAGUUUUGGAAAAUGCUGAGGUGGCUGUGCUGCAAGCUCCUAAAGAAACUUCAUCCAUGAAGAGCAGUGAGAAAGGGGUGGGGCAAUCGAUACACAAGUUUUCAUUUUCUCAGGAGUUGGAGAGAAAAAUACAGAAAUGGAGUUGAAUCUAACCCCCCCCCUGAAGCUGAAUCUAUGGAUGGUGCAAAUUCACUACAAUCUCCCACACUUGCACACAAAUCUGGUAUUGUAUAUUUAAACAUCCCUGUGAGGGGAUUUCGUGGUGUAAUAAAUCCACUAUAACUGGUAAUGUAUCAAACCAUAUCAGAUGGCUCGAUUUUUUUCAGUGUUAUGAAAACUUAAUAGGCAAAAUUUAAUCCAUAUGCUUCACUUGACCCGAGAUCCAAGAUGGGCCUCAUUGUGGUCAUGUGACUUUCUGGUUUCUUGAUGGCCCUAACGCUUCGAGUUUCAUGAUCAUAUAAUUUGGGGAUAAAGUGCACAAUUCACCAUAAUAUUGAGCAUAUCUGCUCCUCUAAUACUGGUUUAUAGCAAUUCCUCCUUUUAUAACUUUACUGCAGGUGUGUUCAUCUGUGUUAUUUUUAUUUAAGAGGUGAGGUACAAGGAACUCUGGGAGGAAAAUUCAUCAUCUGAAACACUAAGUGAAGAAAAAAACCAGGAACACUGAAGUGGAGGUUCUUUAAAGGAUAAAUGUCUCUUCAUUCAAGGUUAUAAAGUCCAGGGAGAAGGUGGUGGCCCUGAAUGAAACCAUCCAGGAGGCAGGAGAACAAGUGGAGGAGAGUAAGCGGCUUGAGGAGAAAAUAGCUCAACAGGUACAUCUUCAUGAACUGCAAAGGAUUUGUCUUGUGUUCUUUCUCAAAGAAGGGUCAUACAAACCUAUGGCUGUUGAAACUUGUCACCUGAAGCCUUUUUGUAUCCCUGUAACUUAAAUUGUAUAGAAGGUCACACAACUGCUUAUUCAAUUGUCAUGAAUGUCUUGGUAUUUAACAUUAUUUAGCAUGUUGUUAAAUAUCAAAUACUGUAGAUAUAUUGAGGGUGUCUGUUUUUAUUUAUCAGUCUGUCACACUUCUAUUUUUUGAAUACAUCUGGAAAAUAGCUUGAAAUUGUGCUUUUUUAUAUGGUGUGUGUGUGUGUGUGUGUGUGUGUGUGUGUGUGUGUGUGUGUGUGUGUGAACACUGGUGAACCUAAAGCUAAGAAAGGCAUACUUGCCAACUUAAGAGCCACUGUUGGCUCGCCUGCUAAACUAUCCAAAAAAACUGUUGCAGGCACACCAAGCUCUACCAGAAAGAGGAGCCUGUUCAAGUAAAUGGUGGAAAUAUGUGUAUAUAUUUUGUUUUUCUUUAAUGUUUGUCUUAUUAAAAAUGGAAUAAAGGUUUAUUUAAGUUUUGUUUGGUUUCUAUUUCCACAAGAUCGGUCAACUUGGAAAAUGUAUUUUUAUUUUUUAAACCUGCAAUGGAUCUCCUCCUAAUGGCUGAGUUAUCAAUAUCAGUAUUGCCUCGCGACUGAAUUUGAUUUCAGUUGAAUAGUAAGCUCCUGUAUCAGUUUUGCAUCAUCCCCUAUAAUAAAGAUUUAGAUCUCUACUGGAAGCCAUACUAGUACAGCAGCAGUGUGGAAUAGUGGUUAGGGCUCUGGACUCUUGACCAGAGGGUUGUGGGUUCAAUAUCUGGUAGGGGACACCGUUGCUGUACCCUUGAGCGAGGUAAUUUACCUAAAUUGCUCCUGUAAAAACCCAACUGUAUAAAUGGGUAAUUGAAUGUAAAAAUAAUGUGAUAUCUUGUAACAAUUGUAAGUCGCCCUGGAU